Chinchilla lanigera (long-tailed chinchilla) is the source of this 627-nucleotide long non-coding RNA. RefSeq lists it as uncharacterized. The record is from RefSeq and is a predicted model, not a curated record. The transcript has 4 exons. Lineage: Eukaryota; Metazoa; Chordata; Mammalia; Rodentia; Chinchillidae.
GCGGCUCCGCCUCUCCGGGGCCGGGCUGCACGGCGGCCAAUGAGGCGCGACCACGAGGGCUCCAAAACACCGAGAGGGCGGGGGUAGGGGACGGUCCUCCUCUGGGUCGACCGGCUGAAGCAGCACGUGUCUCUGGCUGUUAAUGAUCCGAGGUUGGCGGGAGACCCGCGAAGGUCCUUGUCCACUCUCGGCUCCAGGACUCACCCAGGACUUAUUCAAGUCGGAACUGGAACUUAAGCACUUGUCACCUUUACUUUCCUGUAGCCUCACAUCUAUUACAGCUACCUUAAGAAGUUGUCUGCAUCCUGUCGGGGCUCAGAAACCUGACACACAACUUCUUGGUUACCUUGUGAGUUCCAGUGAAGAAGAAAAUCAUUGAUGAAUGGCUCUAAAUAAAAAUCAAGAGUCUGGGUAUCCUGAUGAAACCCUAUUUGCUACCUGCUUUUGAUGAACUCCAAUACUCAAGAGGGGCUGUUUCAAGAGAAGCCCAGACUGAGGCCUGGGACGAGCCUGCCAAGUGUGGGCUGCCAAUGGCUCUUAUUGCCAUGAGCUGGUGGGCAAGAGGGCAGGUAAAAAGAUCUACAAGUACUUGACAUAUCAGCUCAAUAAACAGCCCAUUUGGACCCA